AUGACGACGACUAGCAGCGGUGGCGCCGGUGGCGAUCUGUUAGGCUCCACGCCGGGGUUUCGGUUCUACCCGACGGAGGAUGAGCUGCUGGGCUUCUACCUCCGCCAUCGCCUCGCCGGCACCACCAGGCCGCACGUCGACCGCGUCAUCCCCGUCGUCGACGUCUACAGCCACCACCCUUCCCACCUUCGCUCGAUGGCGGGGGAGGCGAGCGUGCAAGACGCUGAGCAGUGGUUCUUCUUCUGCCCCCGGGCUGAGAGGGAGCUGCGCGGCGGCCGGCCAGCGCGCACCACUCCGUCCGGGUACUGGAAGGCCACGGGCUCGCCGUCCUGCGUCUUCUCCUCUUCCUCCUCAGCCGCCGCCGGUAACAGCAAGGUCAUCGGGGUGAAAAGGACCAUGGUCUUCUACCAGGGCCGUGCGCCCACGGGGGCCAAGACCACGUGGAAGAUGAACGAAUAUAAGGCUGUCGCCGCCGACGACGACACGACGACCGGACACCAGACGACGGCACCUCUCAGGCUGAGGAACGAAUUCAGCGUGUGCCGGCUCUACAUCAGCACGGGGACGCUAAGGUCCUUCGAUCGCCGGCCCCUCAAUACUUCCGGCAAUGGUCAAGCGGCGGCCCGCCGGCAUGCACCGUCGGCAGCCAACACCGCGAGUAUCGGACAAGCCGACAACUAUCAAGGCUGGAGCACGCUGGUGACCACCAGUACCACUGAUGUUGACAAUUUCUGCUUCGACAUGGAUUUCAAUCAACUGUAG
This 762-nucleotide ribosomal RNA is filed under the name Triticum aestivum (bread wheat). RNAcentral describes it as "partial small subunit ribosomal RNA". Lineage: Eukaryota; Viridiplantae; Streptophyta; Magnoliopsida; Poales; Poaceae. The record is from RNAcentral.